RNAcentral lists this ribosomal RNA (457 nucleotides) under uncultured Sphingobacteriales bacterium. Its description in RNAcentral is "bacterial SSU rRNA". It matches the Rfam family "Bacterial small subunit ribosomal RNA", at positions 923 to 1382 of the family's 1533-position model. Lineage: Bacteria; Pseudomonadati; Bacteroidota; Sphingobacteriia; Sphingobacteriales. The record is from RNAcentral.
GCACAAGCGGUGGAGCAUGUGGUUUAAUUCGAUGAUACGCGAGGAACCUUACCUGGGCUCAAAUGUAUGUUGACGUAUUCUGAAAGGGAUACUUCUUCGGACAAUAUACAAGGUGCUGCAUGGUUGUCGUCAGCUCGUGCCGUGAGGUGUCGGGUUAAGUCCCAUAACGAGCGCAACCCCUAUCAUUAGUUGCCAUCAGGUCAAGCUGGGGACUCUAAUGAAACUGCCUACGCAAGUAGUGAGGAAGGUGGGGAUGACGUCAAAUCAGCACGGCCCUUACGUCCAGGGCUACACACGUGCUACAAUGGCCGGUACAAAGGGCAGCUACCUGGUGACAGGAUGCAAAUCUCCAAAGUCGGUCUCAGUUCGGAUCGGAGUCUGCAACCCGACUCCGUGAAGUUGGAUUCGCUAGUAAUCGCGCAUCAGCCAUGGCGCGGUGAAUACGUUCCCGGGCCUU